Molecule: ribosomal RNA, 444 nt
Filed under: uncultured bacterium
Lineage: Bacteria
Description: bacterial SSU rRNA
Rfam family: Bacterial small subunit ribosomal RNA
Source: RNAcentral
AAUCAACGCUGGCGGCGUGCCUAACACAUGCAAGUCGAACGCGACUGGGGCUUCGGCCUCAGUUGAGUGGCGAACGGGUGAGUAACACGUGGGAAUUUUUCCUGGAGUACGGAACAACCGAGGGAAACUUCGGCUAAUACCGUAUGAUGCCGAGAGGCCAAAGAUUUAUCGCUCUGGGGUGAGCCCGCGUCAGAUUAGGUAGUUGGUGGGGUAAAGGCCUACCAAGCCUGCGAUCUGAGCUGGUCUGAGAGGACGAUCAGCCACACUGGGACUGAGACACGGCCCAGACUCCUACGGGAGGCAGCAGUGGGGAAUCUUGCGCAAUGGGCGAAAGCCUGACGCAGCCAUGCCGCGUGAGUGAAGAAGGUCUUAGGAUGUAAAGCUCUUUCGCCCGUGACGAUGAUGACGGUAACGGGAGAAGAAGCCCCGGCUAACUUCGUGCCA